CCUACGGGUGGCAGCAGUGAGGAAUAUUGGUCAAUGGACGCAAGUCUGAACCAGCCAAGUAGCGUGAAGGAUGACUGCUCUAUGGGUUGUAAACUGCUUUUGUAAGAGGGUAAACUCCGAUACGUGUGUCGGGUUGAAAGUAUCUUACGAAUAAGGAUCGGCUAACUCCGUGCCAGCAGCCGCGGUAAUACGGAGGAUCCGAGCGUUAUCCGGAUUUAUUGGGUUUAAAGGGUGCGUAGGCGGUUUGAUAAGUUAGUGGUGAAAGGUCGGGGCUCAACCGCGAAACUGCCAUUAAUACUGUUAGACUAGAGAACAGUUGAGGUAGGCGGAAUGUAUGGUGUAGCGGUGAAAUGCUUAGAGAUCAUACAGAACACCGAUUGCGAAGGCAGCUUACCAAACUAUAUCUGACGUUGAGGCACGAAAGCGUGGGUAGCAAACAGGAUUAGAUACCCUUGUAGUC
RNAcentral lists this ribosomal RNA (460 nucleotides) under uncultured bacterium. RNAcentral describes it as "partial 16S ribosomal RNA". It matches the Rfam family "Bacterial small subunit ribosomal RNA", at positions 338 to 795 of the family's 1533-position model. The record is from RNAcentral.